Non-coding RNA from Nicotiana tabacum (common tobacco), 3304 nucleotides. The record is from RefSeq and is a predicted model, not a curated record. Lineage: Eukaryota; Viridiplantae; Streptophyta; Magnoliopsida; Solanales; Solanaceae.
UCAAUUUAAUUUCUAUUUAUGUUUUUGAAAUUGUGCACGAAAAAAUCGUUGAGUUUAGAAUAACUGAACUUUGCAUAUAUAUGCAGGUUCAUCAUGUGUUAUUACAUAGUACGUAGUUUUGUACUUGUGUUAUGUGGUCAAUGGUCCAAGUAUGUAGACCUGUUUCCUUUACUUGUUACAAAUAUUUUAAAUCAACGAAUUGAAUGUUUAUUUCCUCUCGUUGUUAUCCUUAGAGCACUUGACAUCUUUAUCUUCUUUCUAUCUUAUAAGUAUGAAAGUCAUAAAUUUUUACCGCUUGGGACGAGGUCCCUUAUAUUUGCCCUUUGCAAAAUUCAAGCAUAUUGAGUUGCUCAUCUCCUCACAAAAUGAUUAAUUCAAUAAUUGACUAAUAGGUCCUUGUACCGUUGAUCGUUUGAUUGUCUCUUGAGUUGUUUGGAUUUUGUUUUUUAGGAAAGACGAGAAUAUUUAUUAAUACUAGAACAAUAUCAUACGAUUACAUAUCAUAAUAGCGUCACUAAGGGAACAUUGAUUACAGGGUAAGGUAGUGUCACUUAGGACACUUUGAUUACCCAUGGUAGCUAGUACAUUACACACAUCAGUAGAUAGAUAUUUAACAAAAGUUGUUAUUCCCUCUGCAUCCUUCUCCAGCGAUUCAAGCACACAAAAAGGUGGAGCAGCAGGUACUUGGGUCUUGUUGAAGGUGUGAAAAAAAGUUGAUUUUUGGAAGAGUAAGAAAAAUAAUUAGAAGAAGUUUCUAGAAAGUUAUGGAGUAAUAUCUUGGAUAUUUGUUGUACUUAAGAAAUAUUUAAAUAUUCUAGAGUCUUGGAUAUUUAAGGAAUAUAUAAGUAGAAAGUGAUAGAAUUGUCUAGAUUAUUUUUGUAUCUAGAAUCAUCCCUAGACAAGUAUAAAUAGGAGAAGUCUUAGGCAUUUGUAAUAAAGCCAAAAUCAAGAAAGUCUUCUUUCCUAAACAAAGUUUUCGUCUCCAAAACUUUCCUUCUCUUUGAAAGCUUCAUCUUCUUUAGUUGAAUCCUCCAAUCUUAGUUAACGAUCUUGGGCUAGCAGAAGGUCUCCAAAUAAUACUCUUCUUCUGCUAUUCUUUAUAUGGUAUCAGAGCCGUAAGUCGGCUUCUAGAUUUCAUGGUCAGGUUAGUGGUUGAUUCAACUUGUUUCUCUAAAUGGAUUUGGUGGUCAUGCUAAUGGACUGAGGAUGGAGUUAUUGAACUAGUCCAACUACAAGGUAUGAAAGACAUGUAUGGAGUCAUACCUUGUUGAUGAGGAUUUGUGGAAAGUUGUCAAUGGAAGUAACACAAGUCCUCCUACUGACGCACCAGAAAAUAACAAUCCGCGUAAGAAGUGGAAGCAGAUUAAUGUUAAGUCAGAGUUUAUCCAAAAGAGGUCUAUCUCUCCUAAUUUAUUUGAUCAUAUUAUAAGGUGUAAAUCAGCUCAUCAAAUAUGGAGGACCUUCAAUCGUCUAGUCAACAAGAAGGAUGAAGCUCGGCUACAAAUUUUGGAGAAUGAGUUAGCUAACCCCACUCAAGGUAAUCUCUCCAUCGCCGAGUAUUUUUUGAAGGUUAAAAAUCUGUGUUUCGAAACUUCUCUAUUGAAUCUGGAAGAGGCUAUCCCUGAAGCACGAAUAAGAAGAAUUAUUAUUCGUGAUUUAAAGCCAGAAUAUAUUCCCUUUGUUACAUCAAUUCAAGGAUGGGUUCAACAACUAUCUUUGGAAGAAUUUGAGAAUUUGCUAUCGUCACAAGAGCUACUAACCAAGCAUAUGGCUGGUGUAUCUAUCAAAGAAGAGGAAGGAAAUGCUAUUGUCACUGAUAAGAGAAACUUUAAAGGGAAUCAAGAGAUAGCAUGCACUUUCAAUCCUCAAGUGGUUCAAGCUCGCCAGGAAAGAAGGGGGAGUCUUCUAGUAGCGGUAAAAAGCUUUUUAAAUGUUACCAUUGUGGCAAAGUCGGGCACAUAAAAAGAUAUUAUCAAUCCAAAAAGAGCAAUAUGGCUCAAACCAAGGAAACUGGGGAAAGUGCUUCGCAGCGGAGACUCGAGCAAUAAAUACCAUGACUUCCAUAAAUUUUGAAAGAGACUGGAUCGUGGAUUCAGGAUGUGGGCACCAUCUCAGUAGAGAUAAAUCCAAAUUCUACACCUUUCGCGAAUACAUCGGACAUGAUAUCAUUGUUACAGCAGAUAAUACAGUCUAUAAUGUGGAGAAAAAGGCACUGUUGUGAUCAACGAUAAGCAAACAGAUACUAUCACCCUCAACAUUGUCUUUCAUGUUCCAGGAAUGAAAAAAAUCUAUUUUUAGUUGCAACUACUGUAGAUGCUAGAAACUAUUUGCUAUUUGGCCCACAUGAUGUGAAGUUCCUCCGAAAUAUCAAGGUGAUCAUGGCAAUAAUCACUCACUCAGCACAAGUCAGAAGUUUUCAACAAGUUUGUGGAGUUCAAAGAAACAGUUGAAGGUGAACUUGAUUCCAGAAUAAGGUGGUUGCAAACUGAUAAUGGCGGUGAGUUCACGUCAGAUGAGUUUCUUUCCUUUUGUCGUCAGCAUAGCAUUAAAAGAGAGCUGAUAUGCGCCACAAAAAAAUGAAGAGGCUUAAAGAAAGAUCCGACCCUUAACGGAGACAUGUAAGAGUUGGCUUCAUGCCAAGAAUUUACCUAGAGCCUUGUAGGCUGAAGGUAUGAAAUGUGCAGCGUAUGUGAUUAAUAGGAUGUUGCUUUCUCCAAACAAUAUGAAGUCUCUGAUAAUUGGCGAAAUCUAGGAUGAGGAGCAUAAAUGAUGCUUUCAAGAGGAAAUUGGAAUGAUUUAUGAGCAAGAACAACCCCUAGGAGUCGAGUGUGCGCAAGGACGAGACAGAAAAAUGGACAAAAUCGAGCUACUGAAGCGCGCUAAGUAACGCGCUAACUUCCAAACUUCGCGCGAUAGUUCGCGAGCUUUUCUGCCUGGAAUCCAAGAGAAGCGCGCGAAUUCACGUGCGAACUCCAUACUUCGCGCAAUAGUUCGCGUGUGUCCGAUCCGGAGAAACGUUAUUUAGGGGUAAAAUUGAAAAUCUGGAGAGAAACCCACUUAACCUACAUAAAGUCAAGCUCGCCCCAAGGUUAGAUUAUCAAGUUUUUCAUAGUUUAGAGGAGGAGAUAGAGAGGCAAGAGGCAAGGAGGAGUUUUGAUAAUCAAAGUCUUCUUUUCUUCUUUUGUUUUUGCUGUUUGUGAUGAAAUUGAACUUGUUUAUGAUGAACCCUAGUAUGAGCAGCUAAGACUCAUUGUUCUAGGGUCGUGGGUAAAAUAUGAAUGUUGUUGUUUGAAGUUUAAUUUAA